Molecule: small nucleolar RNA, 65 nt
Filed under: Vicugna pacos (alpaca)
Lineage: Eukaryota; Metazoa; Chordata; Mammalia; Artiodactyla; Camelidae
Description: Small nucleolar RNA SNORD58 (ENSVPAG00000016322.1)
Rfam family: Small nucleolar RNA SNORD58
About the family: snoRNA U58 is found in introns 1, 3 and 6 of the ribosomal protein RPL17 gene in humans.
Source: RNAcentral
CUGCGAUGAUGUGUUUCUUAGGACUCCUUUAGAUCUGACGGGAGUGUAAGACAAUUCUGAGCAGC